GUGCUCGCUUCGGCAGCACAUAUACUAAAAUGGGAAUGAUGCAGAGAAGAUUAGUGUGGCCCCCGCGCAAGGACGACACGCAAAGUCGUGAAGCGUUCCAUGUUUAA
Octodon degus (degu) is the source of this 107-nucleotide small nuclear RNA. Lineage: Eukaryota; Metazoa; Chordata; Mammalia; Rodentia; Octodontidae. The record is from Ensembl.